This 757-nucleotide ribosomal RNA is filed under the name Bacillus subtilis. RNAcentral's name for it is "bacterial SSU rRNA". It matches the Rfam family "Bacterial small subunit ribosomal RNA", at positions 594 to 1349 of the family's 1533-position model. The record is from RNAcentral. Lineage: Bacteria; Bacillati; Bacillota; Bacilli; Caryophanales; Bacillaceae.
UGAAAAGCCCCCGGCUUAACCGGGGAGGGUCAUUUGGAAACUGGGGAACUUUGAGUGCAGAAGAGGAGAGUGGAAUUCCACGUGUAGCGGUGAAAUGCGUAGAGAUGUGGAGGAACACCAGUGGCGAAGGCGACUCUCUGGUCUGUAACUGACGCUGAGGAGCGAAAGCGUGGGGAGCGAACAGGAUUAGAUACCCUGGUAGUCCACGCCGUAAACGAUGAGUGCUAAGUGUUAGGGGGUUUCCGCCCCUUAGUGCUGCAGCUAACGCAUUAAGCACUCCGCCUGGGGAGUACGGUCGCAAGACUGAAACUCAAAGGAAUUGACGGGGGCCCGCACAAGCGGUGGAGCAUGUGGUUUAAUUCGAAGCAACGCGAAGAACCUUACCAGGUCUUGACAUCCUCUGACAAUCCUAGAGAUAGGACGUCCCCUUCGGGGGCAGAGUGACAGGUGGUGCAUGGUUGUCGUCAGCUCGUGUCGUGAGAUGUUGGGUUAAGUCCCGCAACGAGCGCAACCCUUGAUCUUAGUUGCCAGCAUUCAGUUGGGCACUCUAAGGUGACUGCCGGUGACAAACCGGAGGAAGGUGGGGAUGACGUCAAAUCAUCAUGCCCCUUAUGACCUGGGCUACACACGUGCUACAAUGGACAGAACAAAGGGCAGCGAAACCGCGAGGUUAAGCCAAUCCCACAAAUCUGUUCUCAGUUCGGAUCGCAGUCUGCAACUCGACUGCGUGAAGCUGGAAUCGCUAGUAAUCGCGGAU